GACGAACGCUGGCGGCGUGCUUAACACAUGCAAGUCGAACGGAAAGGCCCUGCUUUUGUGGGGUGCUCGAGUGGCGAACGGGUGAGUAACACGUGAGUAACCUGCCCUUGACUUUGGGAUAACUUCAGGAAACUGGGGCUAAUACCGGAUAGGAGCUCCUGCUGCAUGGUGGGGGUUGGAAAGUUUCGGCGGUUGGGGAUGGACUCGCGGCUUAUCAGCUUGCUGGUGGGGUAGUGGCUGACCAAGGCUUUGACGGGUAGCCGGCCUGAGAGGGUGACCGGCCACAUUGGGACUGAGAUACGGCCCAGACUCCUACGGGAGGCAGCAGUGGGGAAUAUUGCACAAUGGGCGGAAGCCUGAUGCAGCAACGCCGCGUGCGGGAUGACGGCCUUCGGGUUGUAAACCGCUUUCGCCUGUGACGAAGCGUGAGUGACGGUAAUGGGUAAAGAAGCACCGGCUAACUACGUG
RNAcentral lists this ribosomal RNA (468 nucleotides) under uncultured bacterium. RNAcentral's name for it is "partial 16S ribosomal RNA". It matches the Rfam family "Bacterial small subunit ribosomal RNA", at positions 28 to 507 of the family's 1533-position model. The record is from RNAcentral.